GCCACCAUGGUGUAAUGGUUUGUGUGUUGGAUUACAACUCCAGAGAUCAGGGUUCAAUUCCUUGCUCAGCCA
This is a non-coding RNA of Phrynosoma platyrhinos (Desert horned lizard), 72 nucleotides long. NCBI's taxonomy places the organism in Eukaryota, Metazoa, Chordata, Lepidosauria, Squamata, Phrynosomatidae. The record is from the annotation of a GenBank genome assembly.